CCCCUAGUACCGGCGAGUGAACGGGGAAAUGCCCAGCGUUGAAUCCUUCGGCCACUGGUCGCUUGGAAUUGUAGCGUAUAGGUGCGGCUGUCCGUCUGUUUCGCUUACCCAAAGUCCCCUUGAGCGGGGCUAUUGUCCAAAGAAGGUGCUAGACCUGUACGGGUGGCGAGAUGGUCGGUUGGUUGCUCCUUGGAGUCGGGUUGCCUGGGAUCGCAGCCCAAAGUUGGUGGUAGACCUCAUCUAAGGCUAAAUAUGGCCACGAAACCGAUAGCAAACAAGUACCGUGAGGGAAAGUUGCAAAGAACUUUGAAGAGAGAGUUCAAGAGGGCGUGAAACCGCUGAGAUUGAAACGGAUAGAGUUGACGGAACUCGGCUGCAUUCAUUCGGUCGGCCUAGCGGCCCGAUGGGAUUGACUUCCUCGAUGAGGGCAAUACYGUCGGUAGCUGUUGGGUGCUUGAUCGGUGUAUUUGCGGCCGGUAUGCGCUGAGAGCCUUGCGGUCGCGUGUUGACGAGUGCGUAGUGGACCAUUCCUUACGGGCGUGGAACCCUCCGCACUUUGAGGCAUGUUGGCCAUGAGGUUUUGAACGUUAGCGUCUCCGCUAUGGUGCAUCGGCUUUUUCGGGCCGUUGUGGCUAUGGGAUGGUCGCAUGCGAGCUUCUGUAGUUAUCAAUGGCGUGGCAGAGUGCGGAUGCGUCGAGGCGUAUAUCUCGGUGUGAACGUUGACCACCUAUCCGACCCGUCUUGAAACACGGACCAAGGAGUCCAGCAUAUGCGCGAGUCAUUGGGUGAUAAACCUAAAGGCGUAAUGAAAGUGAAAGUCGUCUCGAUACGAAAGAUAUGGGAUCCGUGAUGCUUACGGGCAGCACGGCGCACCAUAGCCCCGUCCCCGUUGCUUGCAAUAGGGCGGAGGUAGAGCGCAUACGCUGGGACCCGAAAGAUGGUGAACUAUGCCUGAGCAGGAUGAAGCCAGAGGAAACUCUGGUGGAAGUCCGAAGCGGUUCUGACGUGCAAAUCGAUCGUCUGACUUGGGUAUAGGGGCGAAAGACUAAUCG
RNAcentral lists this ribosomal RNA (1052 nucleotides) under Raphidascaris acus. RNAcentral's name for it is "LSU rRNA". It matches the Rfam family "Eukaryotic large subunit ribosomal RNA", at positions 77 to 937 of the family's 3401-position model. Lineage: Eukaryota; Metazoa; Nematoda; Chromadorea; Rhabditida; Raphidascarididae. The record is from RNAcentral.